This 253-nucleotide ribosomal RNA is filed under the name uncultured bacterium. RNAcentral describes it as "partial 16S ribosomal RNA". It matches the Rfam family "Bacterial small subunit ribosomal RNA", at positions 524 to 776 of the family's 1533-position model. The record is from RNAcentral.
UACAGAGGGGGCAAGCGUUGUUCGGAAUUACUGGGCGUAAAGGGCGCGUAGGCGGCCCGCUAAGUCGAACGUGAAAUCCCCGGGCUCAACCCGGGAACUGCGUCCGAUACUGGUGGGCUCGAAUCCGGGAGAGGGAUGCGGAAUUCCAGGUGUAGCGGUGAAAUGCGUAGAUAUCUGGAGGAACACCGGUGGCGAAGGCGGCAUCCUGGACCGGCAUUGACGCUGAGGCGCGAAAGCCAGGGGAGCAAACGGG